GGGUUGUGAGGUUAAGCGACUAAGCGUACACGGUGGAUGCCCUGGCAGUCAGAGGCGAUGAAGGACGUGCUAAUCUGCGAUAAGCGCCGGUAAGGUGAUAUGAACCGUUAUAACCGGCGAUUUCCGAAUGGGGAAACCCAGUGUGAUUCGUCACACUAUCAUUAACUGAAUCCAUAGGUUAAUGAGGCGAACCGGGGGAACUGAAACAUCUAAGUACCCCGAGGAAAAGAAAUCAACCGAGAUUCCCCCAGUAGCGGCGAGCGAACGGGGAGGAGCCCAGAGCCUGAAUCAGCAUAUGUGUUAGUGGAAGCGUCUGGAAAGGCGCGCGAUACAGGGUGACAGCCCCGUACACAAAAGCGCAUGUGCUGUGAGCUCGAUGAGUAGGGCGGGACACGUGGUAUCCUGUCUGAAUAUGGGGGGACCAUCCUCCAAGGCUAAAUACUCCUGACUGACCGAUAGUGAACCAGUACCGUGAGGGAAAGGCGAAAAGAACCCCGGCGAGGGGAGUGAAAAAGAACCUGAAACCGUGUACGUACAAGCAGUGGGAGCCCCACCACUAAGCCAGUGGUGAACUCCACAUACGCAUCCUUUGCUGAGGAUACGGUUAACGGAGCGAAAGCGACGUUCAACCUCAAAAGAAGCAGAGGGGGCUUAGUGGUGGGGUGACUGCGUACCUUUUGUAUAAUGGGUCAGCGACUUAUAUUCUGUAGCAAGGUUAACCGUAUAGGGGAGCCG
This 735-nucleotide ribosomal RNA is filed under the name Salmonella enterica subsp. enterica. Its description in RNAcentral is "partial 23S ribosomal RNA". It matches the Rfam family "Bacterial large subunit ribosomal RNA", at positions 1 to 668 of the family's 2925-position model. Lineage: Bacteria; Pseudomonadati; Pseudomonadota; Gammaproteobacteria; Enterobacterales; Enterobacteriaceae. The record is from RNAcentral. RNAcentral also lists the same sequence under 3 other names.